This 498-nucleotide ribosomal RNA is filed under the name uncultured bacterium. Its description in RNAcentral is "partial 16S ribosomal RNA". It matches the Rfam family "Bacterial small subunit ribosomal RNA", at positions 29 to 507 of the family's 1533-position model. The record is from RNAcentral.
ACGAACGCUGGCGGCGUGCCUAAUACAUGCAAGUCGCGCGAAGUUUUUCUGGUGCUUGCACUAGAAAAACUUAGCGGCGAACGGGUGAGUAACACGUAAAGAACCUGCCUCAUAGACUGGGACAACUAUUGGAAACGAUAGCUAAUACCGGAUAACAGCAUUAACUGCAUGGUUGAUGUUUAAAAGUUGGUUUUGCUAACACUAUGAGAUGGCUUUGCGGUGCAUUAGCUAGUUGGUGGGGUAAAGGCCUACCAAGGCGACGAUGCAUAGCCGACCUGAGAGGGUGAUCGGCCACACUGGGACUGAGACACGGCCCAGACUCCUACGGGAGGCAGCAGUAGGGAAUCUUCCGCAAUGGGCGAAAGCCUGACGGAGCAACGCCGCGUGAGUGAAGAAGGAUUUCGGUUCGUAAAGCUCUGUUGUUAGGGAAGAAUGAUUGUGUAGUAACUAUACACAGUAGAGACGGUACCUAACCAGAAAGCCACGGCUAACUACGUG